This 1674-nucleotide ribosomal RNA is filed under the name Triticum aestivum (bread wheat). RNAcentral's name for it is "partial small subunit ribosomal RNA". Lineage: Eukaryota; Viridiplantae; Streptophyta; Magnoliopsida; Poales; Poaceae. The record is from RNAcentral.
AUGACAGUCCAGCAUACGUCAGCCCCAGCAGCUCAUCAUACAAAAAGAAAGGAAGAACAACCUCUAAACUCAAGGAGCACAAAGCAGACAAGGACUGGAGAGGGAAGAAGAAAUACGAACACAGAGGCUCCUAAACGAUUGAGAAAGGAUAGUGCUGAAGAAGAUAAGGAAUUGAAGUGUGCAAGAAGCGGAAGCAACAAAAACAACAUUAGAAUCAAUGUUGGAGACAACAACAGAACCACAACCUCGACAAGUGCUAAUAGAAAGGCAUGGAACUUCGGAAGGCCAACAUACAAAUGCCAGUAUUGCAAAGCAUUGCUAUGGUGUGAAGAAAGAUUAAAUUCAAACAAAGGAACAAAGACACCCUCUUUUGGAAUAUGCUGCAAACAGGGAAAAAUCGAUCUGCCACCACUAAGAGAGCCUCCACCAUACCUCAGAAACCUCUUAAGAAGUGAAGGACAGGAUUCAGUAAACUUCAAAGAAAAUAUAAGGUCAUACAACUCAAUGUUUUCAUUCACAUCCAUGGGAGGAGUUGUGGACAAGGAAAUAAACACUCACAAAGGACCUUAUGUUUUUCGUUUGCAUGGACAGAACUACCACCACAUCGGAACUCUUUUACCUGAAGGUACAGACAAACCUCGGUUUGCACAGCUGUACAUCUAUAAUACUGAAAAUGAGGUGGCAAACAGGAUAAGUGCGUCAAGAUGCAAUGAUAAUAAAUCAACAGUGGACCCCAACAUUGUCAAAGAAUUGCAAAUAAUGCUUGACGACAACAACAUCCUCGCAAAAACAUUCAGAAUGGCAAGAGAUAGAUUCCAAGAAGGAGACUACCAUGAUUACACACUUCGGAUACUAGGAAAAAGGAACGGAACACACAACCUUCCAUCCGCAUCUGAAGUUGCAGCAUUGGUAGUAAGAGAUCCAACUGGAGAGAGUGAAGGACGUGACAUUGUUGUUGAGUACAAAAAUAUGGUGCCACAAAGGAUAUCAGAGAUCCACCCGAAAUUCAUGUCCAUGCAAUAUCCUUUGUUGUUCCCAUAUGGAGAAGAUGGUUUUAAACUUGAGAUACCGUACAAGAAAACAAAAGGAGCUAAAAACAGCAGGAAAUACGUAACGUUGUUGGACUACUAUGCAUUCUACCUACAGCAACGUCCAGACCAAGGAAUGUUAUUGCUCAAGUCUGGGCAUCUGUCACUGCAAUUUUGGGUGGAUGUAUACACAUGUAUCGAGCAAAAUAGACUAAACUGGAUCCGACACAAUCAAGGAAAGCUAAGAACUGAACUUUACAGUGGAUUGCAGGAUGCAAUUAAGCGAGGGGACACAAGAACAGAGCAGGUUGGAAAGAGGAUAAUUGUGCCUUCAUCUUUUACAGGUGGUAGAAGAAACAAGGCACAAUACUUGCAAGAUGCAUUCGCGAUAUGUCGUUGGGCUGGAUACCCAGACCUGUUUAUAACAUUCACAUGCAAUGCAAAGUGGCCUGAGAUCCAAUACAUGCUAGAUGAAGCGGGAGGUGGCCAAAAGCCAGCCGAUCGGCCAGAUAUUUUGGACAGAGUAUUUAUGAUAAAACUAAAGGAGCUAAUGAGAGACAUAAAAGAAAAGAAAUACUUUGGAGAAACACUUGCAAGUAAGUCCCAUCAACUAUCAAUAUUUACUCUUUCAUGCGUCAUCUUAUAG